CUUAUGAUUUGAACUUAUCCAGGAAUUCGACGAAUUGAGAAACGCAAAGCCGCUCUGAGACUGUCUUCUGAUUCUCAAACUCCUGAGGGUGGAACCACUGGGAAUGAUAUGGUGCAUGAAUGUGUAUUUUGAUUUGUAUGAUUUGUUAUCCCUCCAAAUAUCUAGUAAUCAUGGACAUUGGUAUACACUUGCAAAGAGAUGUUAUGACUAGUGACUCUUAAUAUAUGAUAACUUAAAAAUUGACCGAUGCAAUUCAUGCUUGAGGUGGGACAAAGCUCUUUGAGAUGAGCAACUGGAGCACCAAUAAAAAUGUUAUUGGCAGAAGAAAUGUCAAAAGAAAUUGAAGUUAAAAGACCAUAACCAAGUGUUAUUGCCAGAUUGAUGGGUCACGACGGGCUGCCAUCUCCACAACAUGUUCAUAGACAACAAAGGAGUUCUUCAGAUAUCUACUAGAAACAACCUCAAGCACGACACUACUUAGUUAGUUGUAUUAUUUAUUUAUUUUAUUUUUUUU
RNAcentral lists this long non-coding RNA (514 nucleotides) under Olea europaea subsp. europaea. Lineage: Eukaryota; Viridiplantae; Streptophyta; Magnoliopsida; Lamiales; Oleaceae. The record is from RNAcentral.